This is a long non-coding RNA of Stomoxys calcitrans (stable fly), 1051 nucleotides long. RefSeq lists it as uncharacterized. The record is from RefSeq and is a predicted model, not a curated record. NCBI's taxonomy places the organism in Eukaryota, Metazoa, Arthropoda, Insecta, Diptera, Muscidae. The transcript has 3 exons.
UCAUUAUUUUCCAAAGAACGUGUUUUUCAAUAUCUGUCAACGAUUACAGAUUUCUGUUUAAACGGUAAUCGAUAGACGCCAUGUGUACAUGUGACGCAUGCACCUUUGUUUUUCACCAAUACUCUUACAAUGACCACACUCAGUUAUGCCAUAAAUUUCAAGGAAAGAAAAAAUCGAUGUACCGUUUUGGGCAAAAUCUGUAAUCAACACGUACACACGAUGAAUUCGUGAGAUCAUGAUGUGCCAUGUAAACACUGCUUAAAUCUAAUCGAUCGUAAAAUUAUCGGUUCCAACAAAAAAUUGAAUUGCAUUUUUAAAACAUACAAAAAGGCGGCCUUAGGUCUGUAAAUAAGGUACAAAAUAGUGACUGAGGUCAAUAUUAAUGACCGUGUGGGUAUCAUGCGUGCGUUCAAAAAUGAAUUGGGAGUUUUAUGGUAAUGGCGAAUCACAAAGUGUGACGGCAUUGAAUACGUCUAAGUCUUUGUGGGCUUUCAGUGAUUUAUAUGGGCGCUGUGUUUAAGUUUCCCACAGAUGGAGUGACCAGCAGUGGCUGUGUUGGAGUUUGUGGUGUGGGCUUUCAAGAGGAAUGCCUUAACAUUUCCAGCAAAUUUCGCAAAACAUUGAUGUUGAUAUUAUCGUCACCAGCUCAUUACUCUAAAUGGGGGCGUGUUUGCCGAUACCGCUUUAUGAUUGGCCAAUUCUGCGAUUUUAACGUCGGGUCUGUGUGGUCUUUCUUUGGGCAAUACAAGCAACACGCCUUUUAUUUCAUCUUUGGGUGAUUAUUAUAAUGUCAACGAUAGAUUGCGCUUCCAUACCCGAAUUCGAAUUUAAUUGGAUGAGUUGAGGGAUGGUGAUCGUAUGGGCAUGAUCCGCAAGGCUAAUGGAAAUCCCCACUACUUUAAUGGUCAAGAGUAAGAGUAGCUGCCACACGGGUACCUUCCUCUCUAUGGGGUGUCAUUGAUUUUUAUGGCAUGAUCAUUAAGGCUGUAACAACAAAUUUAUUGUUGCUGCUGUUUGCGCUAAAUACACUUGACAUCAACAAUGUUUUAUA